AGUGAACGCUGGCGGUAGGCCUAACACAUGCAAGUCGAACGGCAGCACAGUAAGAGCUUGCUCUUACGGGUGGCGAGUGGCGGACGGGUGAGGAAUACAUCAGAAUCUACUUUUUCGUGGGGGAUGACGUAGGGAAACUUACGCUAAUACCGCAUACGACCUACGGGUGAAAGCAGGGGAUCUUCGGACCUUGCGCGAUUGAAUGAGCCGAUGUCGGAUUAGCUAGUUGGCGGGGUAAUGGCCCACCAAGGCGACGAUCCGUAGCUGGUCUGAGAGGAUGAUCGGCCACACUGGAACUUGGACACGGUCCAGGCUCCUACGGGAGGCAGCAGUGGGGAAUAUUGGACAAUGGGCGCAAGCCUGAUCCAGCCAUACCGCGUGGGUGAAGAAGGCCUUCGGGUUGUAAAGCCCUUCUGUUGGGAAAGAAAAGCAGCAGGUUAAUACCCCGCUGUUCUGACGGUACCCAAAGAAUAAGCACCGGCUAACUUCGUG
Molecule: ribosomal RNA, 492 nt
Filed under: uncultured bacterium
Lineage: Bacteria
Description: partial 16S ribosomal RNA
Rfam family: Bacterial small subunit ribosomal RNA
Source: RNAcentral